GAUGAACGCUGGCGGCGUGCCUAAUACAUGCAAGUCAAGCGAACAGACGAGGAGCUUGCUCCUCUGACGUUAGCGGCGGACGUGUGAGUAACACGUGGAUAACCUACCUAUAAGACUGGGAUAACUUCGGGAAACCGGAGCUAAUACCGGAUAAUAUAUUGAACCGCAUGGUUCAAUAGUGAAAGACGGUUUUGCUGUCACUUAUAGCUGGAUCCGCGCCGCAUUAGCUAGUUGGUAAGGUAACGGCUUACCAAGGCAACGAUGCGUAGCCGACCUGAGAGGGUGAUCGGCCACACUGGAACUGAGACGCGGUCCAGACUCCUACGGGAGGCAGCAGUAGGGAAUCUUCCGCAAUGGGCGAAAGCCUGACGGAGCAACGCCGCGUGAGUGAUGAAGGUCUUCGGAUCGUAAAACUCUGUUAUUAGGGAAGAACAAAUGUGUAAGUAACUAUGCACGUCUUGACGGUACCUAAUCAGAAAGCCACGGCUAACUACGUG
This 497-nucleotide ribosomal RNA is filed under the name uncultured bacterium. Its description in RNAcentral is "partial 16S ribosomal RNA". It matches the Rfam family "Bacterial small subunit ribosomal RNA", at positions 28 to 507 of the family's 1533-position model. The record is from RNAcentral.